This 247-nucleotide ribosomal RNA is filed under the name uncultured Bacillota bacterium. Its description in RNAcentral is "uncultured Firmicutes bacterium partial 16S ribosomal RNA". It matches the Rfam family "Bacterial small subunit ribosomal RNA", at positions 796 to 1041 of the family's 1533-position model. Lineage: Bacteria; Bacillati; Bacillota. The record is from RNAcentral.
CACGCCGUAAACGAUGAAUGCUAGGUGUGAGCGCGCAAGCGUUCGUGCCGCAGCUAACGCAAUAAGCAUUCCACCUGGGGAGUACGGCCGCAAGGUUGAAACUCAAAGGAAUUGACGGGAGCCCGCACAAGCAGUGGAGUAUGUGGAUUAAUUCGACGCAACGCGAAGAACCUUACCAGGUCUUGACAUCCUGAGAACCUGUCGUAAUGGACGGGGUGCCCCUUCGGGGGAAUUCAGAGACAGGUGG